This 629-nucleotide ribosomal RNA is filed under the name Salmonella enterica subsp. enterica serovar Infantis. RNAcentral describes it as "partial 23S ribosomal RNA". It matches the Rfam family "Bacterial large subunit ribosomal RNA", at positions 2259 to 2882 of the family's 2925-position model. The record is from RNAcentral. RNAcentral also lists the same sequence under 4 other names. Lineage: Bacteria; Pseudomonadati; Pseudomonadota; Gammaproteobacteria; Enterobacterales; Enterobacteriaceae.
UGGUGGGUAGUUUGACUGGGGCGGUCUCCUCCUAAAGAGUAACGGAGGAGCACGAAGGUUGGCUAAUCCUGGUCGGACAUCAGGAGGUUAGUGCAAUGGCAUAAGCCAGCUUGACUGCGAGCGUGACGGCGCGAGCAGGUGCGAAAGCAGGUCAUAGUGAUCCGGUGGUUCUGAAUGGAAGGGCCAUCGCUCAACGGAUAAAAGGUACUCCGGGGAUAACAGGCUGAUACCGCCCAAGAGUUCAUAUCGACGGCGGUGUUUGGCACCUCGAUGUCGGCUCAUCACAUCCUGGGGCUGAAGUAGGUCCCAAGGGUAUGGCUGUUCGCCAUUUAAAGUGGUACGCGAGCUGGGUUUAGAACGUCGUGAGACAGUUCGGUCCCUAUCUGCCGUGGGCGCUGGAGAACUGAGGGGGGCUGCUCCUAGUACGAGAGGACCGGAGUGGACGCAUCACUGGUGUUCGGGUUGUCAUGCCAAUGGCACUGCCCGGUAGCUAAAUGCGGAAGAGAUAAGUGCUGAAAGCAUCUAAGCACGAAACUUGCCCCGAGAUGAGUUCUCCCUGAGACUUAGAGUCUCCUGAAGGAACGUUGAAGACGACGACGUUGAUAGGCCGGGUGUGUAAGCGCAGCGAU